This is a long non-coding RNA of Cyprinus carpio (common carp), 235 nucleotides long. RefSeq lists it as uncharacterized. The transcript has 3 exons. The record is from RefSeq and is a predicted model, not a curated record. Lineage: Eukaryota; Metazoa; Chordata; Actinopteri; Cypriniformes; Cyprinidae.
GGGCUAGCAGUUUAUGGUUAGGGUUAGGGGCUAGUCUGGGGUUAAUUGCAACUAGGUAUAUAGAUAAAAACGAGUUUCACCCUCAUUAAUUCCACCCUCAUUAGCAUAUGCGAUCUGAUUGGCCAAAGCUUACCUGGCCGUAUCUUUUGAAGCGGAGGUCCGAUGUGCACAUAACUGGUAUCGUUGGAUUCAGGAAGCUGUCGUCUUUCAGGCAGCGUGGAUGUAUGGAAGAAAG